GCACCGUGACUUUGCAGCACAGUGACCGCGUGCGUCUACGCCGACCUGCGUCAUCGGAACGCCGGUCCUGGGGCCUUGUUCUGCUGUCACUGCCCGGCUGUCUUGGAGUCAGUCCAGCACAGCUGUUUGACACGCCAGGUGACGAAGGUCAGCUAUAGAGCCCAAGAUUCCGACCUGUAUUAUUGCUGCGGAAGAAUAUAAGGUCUUCCUGUUCACCUCUGUUGUUUAAGAGAGACGCGUGGUAGAGACUGGCUCUGUGGACAUGGGUGGACAGCCUGUGUGAGCGAGACAAGACG
Schistocerca gregaria is the source of this 296-nucleotide long non-coding RNA. RefSeq lists it as uncharacterized. NCBI's taxonomy places the organism in Eukaryota, Metazoa, Arthropoda, Insecta, Orthoptera, Acrididae. The record is from RefSeq and is a predicted model, not a curated record. The transcript is spliced from 3 exons.